GAGAGAGAGAGGGAGAGAGAGGGAGAGAGGGAGGAAGAGAAGAGAGAGAGAGGGGAGGGAGAGAGAUAGAGAGAGAGGGGAGGAAGAGAGGAGAAAGAGAGGUGAGGAGGGAGAGAGAGAGAGAGAGGUGAGGAGGGAGAGAGAGAGAGGUGAGGAGGGAGAGAGAGAGGUGAGGAGGGAGAGAGAGAGAGGUGAGGAGGGAGAGAGAGAGAAGUAUCGACUCCCCCCCCCCUCAGUGGAACCCGAAACACUGGAUGAACAAUUCGUAAAUCCUCCGUCCUCCAGCGACGGCGUUCCUGAAGCCGGGAGUCAGUCCGGAUGGCCAGAACGAUCAGCUCAUCCAGAGAGUAUCAGGGUUGCCCCGGGAAACCAGUUCAUCCUUCAGAACCUCGUUGAGUCCGUUCAGAAAGACGGAGUGAAGCUGAGCCUCUGUAUUCCAACCCGCUCUCAGCGGGCGAACGUCCAAAAACCCAACACCAUAAUCAGCUACGCUAACGGCUGCCCUACCGAAGCGCAGUGAGUCUUCGAACGGCAGUUCCUGCCAAAAAAAAACCUCCUCAUCUCUCAUCUGGGUGAAGCUUCGACAAUUAUAACAAAAUCUCUGAUUGCUGCUUCCAAUAUGGCCGCGUCUCAGGCCAGAGCC
This 643-nucleotide long non-coding RNA is filed under the name Salmo salar (Atlantic salmon). Its description in RNAcentral is "lncRNA (ENSSSAG00000083255.1)". Lineage: Eukaryota; Metazoa; Chordata; Actinopteri; Salmoniformes; Salmonidae. The record is from RNAcentral.